GAUGAACGCUGGCGGCGUGCUUAACACAUGCAAGUCGAACGAUGAAGCCCAGCUUGCUGGGUGGAUUAGUGGCGAACGGGUGAGUAACACGUGAGUAACCUGCCCAUGACUCUGGGAUAAGCCUGGGAAACUGGGUCUAAUACCGGAUAGGAACGUCCACCGCAUGGUGGUUGUUGGAAAGAUUUAUCGGUCAUGGAUGGACUCGCGGCCUAUCAGCUUGUUGGUGAGGUAAUGGCUCACCAAGGCGACGACGGGUAGCCGGCCUGAGAGGGUGACCGGCCACACUGGGACUGAGACACGGCCCAGACUCCUACGGGAGGCAGCAGUGGGGAAUAUUGCACAAUGGGCGAAAGCCUGAUGCAGCGACGCCGCGUGAGGGAUGACGGCCUUCGGGUUGUAAACCUCUUUCAGUAGGGAAGAAGCGAAAGUGACGGUACCUGCAGAAGAAGCACCGGCUAACUACGUGCCAGCCGCCGCCGUAA
This 482-nucleotide ribosomal RNA is filed under the name uncultured bacterium. RNAcentral describes it as "partial 16S ribosomal RNA". It matches the Rfam family "Bacterial small subunit ribosomal RNA", at positions 28 to 523 of the family's 1533-position model. The record is from RNAcentral.